This 77-nucleotide transfer RNA is filed under the name Sphingomonas sp. RNAcentral's name for it is "tRNA-Pro". It matches the Rfam family "tRNA". From Rfam's summary of the family: Transfer RNA (tRNA) molecules are approximately 80 nucleotides in length. Their secondary structure includes four short double-helical elements and three loops (D, anti-codon, and T loops). RNAcentral also lists the same sequence under 4 other names. The record is from RNAcentral. Lineage: Bacteria; Pseudomonadati; Pseudomonadota; Alphaproteobacteria; Sphingomonadales; Sphingomonadaceae.
CGGGGAGUGGCGCAGUCUGGUAGCGCACCUGGUUUGGGACCAGGGGGCCGCAGGUUCGAAUCCUGUCUCCCCGACCA